AUUACCCCUUGUACCUUUGCAUAAUGAAUUAACUAGUAUAAGACUUAACAAAAUGAAUUUUAGCUAAGCAGCCCGAAACCAGACGAGCUACUCACAAACAGUUUACCAAGAACUAACUCAUCUAUGUGGCAAAAUAGUGAGAAGAUUUGUAAGUAGAGGUGACAUGCCUAACGAGCCUGGUGAUAGCUGGUUGUCCAGAAAAUGAAUCUAAGUUCAGCUUUAAAGAUACCAAAAAUUCAAAUAAACCCCACUGUAGCUUUAAAAGUUAGUCUAAAAAGGUACAGCCUUUUAGAAACGGAUACAACCUUGACUAGAGAGUAAAAUUUAACACU
Molecule: ribosomal RNA, 332 nt
Filed under: Bos taurus (domestic cattle)
Lineage: Eukaryota; Metazoa; Chordata; Mammalia; Artiodactyla; Bovidae
Description: similar to 16S ribosomal RNA
Rfam family: Bacterial large subunit ribosomal RNA (bases 55-332)
Source: RNAcentral